AUUACAAAGGCAAACCCGUUGAAAGGCGGAGACGCAAAGCCAAGGGUCUAAGGUCGGAGGGACUAUGACAGCCGGUUGCCGC
RNAcentral lists this non-coding RNA (82 nucleotides) under uncultured Anaerobutyricum sp. RNAcentral's name for it is "Cyclic di-GMP-I riboswitch". It matches the Rfam family "c-di-GMP-I riboswitch aptamer". Rfam says of the family: GEMM was predicted in a large-scale screen for bacterial structured RNA regulatory elements. Lineage: Bacteria; Bacillati; Bacillota; Clostridia; Lachnospirales; Lachnospiraceae. The record is from RNAcentral.